Non-coding RNA from Drosophila takahashii, 360 nucleotides. The record is from RefSeq and is a predicted model, not a curated record. Lineage: Eukaryota; Metazoa; Arthropoda; Insecta; Diptera; Drosophilidae.
AACACAGUAGCUCAAAGCCCUCAGGUUGAAGCGGAACAUUAUGGCCUCCAAAUUAAAUACUAUUAUCCUAGUUCUUGCUGCCGUUUGCACUAUCACACUUGCCUACGAUAAAGAGAAAUGCGAUGCUCCUCCCAGCGUGACAGGAAUGUGCCAGGCCUCAAUUACCGCGUGGGUCUAUAAGGAUGGAAAAUGUCAGUUCUUAGAGUAUGGUGGGUGUGGGGCCACUCCAAACAUAUUUCUUAGACUUAAAUCUCUAUGCGAGGCAUCUUGCUUAAACUAAGCUAAAUGUGCUGUGGGUAAAAGCAUUAGCUUUUUGAAAUCAAAUAAAAAUAAAAUAACAUCCCAAGGGCAGAAUAAUAA